Molecule: ribosomal RNA, 257 nt
Filed under: uncultured Basidiomycota
Lineage: Eukaryota; Fungi; Basidiomycota
Description: partial 18S ribosomal RNA
Rfam family: Eukaryotic small subunit ribosomal RNA
Source: RNAcentral
AAGCUCGUAGUUGAAUUUCGAAUGUGGCUGGGCGGUCCGCCUCACGGUGUGUACUGUCUGGCUGUGUUCUCUUUCUUGGUGAGCCGGCAUGCCCUUUACUGGGUGUGUUGGGGAACCAGGACGUUUACCUUGAGAAAAUUAGAGUGUUCAGAGCAGGCCUAUGCCCGAAUACAUUAGCAUGGCAUAAUAAAAUAGGACGUGCGGUUCUAUUUUGUUGGUUUCUAGAGCCGCAGUAAUGAUUAAUAGGGAUAGUUGGG